This 272-nucleotide ribosomal RNA is filed under the name uncultured prokaryote. RNAcentral describes it as "partial 16S ribosomal RNA". It matches the Rfam family "Bacterial small subunit ribosomal RNA", at positions 524 to 794 of the family's 1533-position model. The record is from RNAcentral.
UACGAAGGGUGCAAGCGUUAAUCGGAAUUACUGGGCGUAAAGCGCGCGUAGGUGGUUCGUUAAGUUAGGAGUGAAAGCCCCGGGCUCAACCUGGGAAUUGCUUCUAAAACUGGCGAGCUAGAGUAUGGUAGAGGGUGGUGGAAUUUCCUGUGUAGCGGUGAAAUGCGUAGAUAUAGGAAGGAACAUCAGUGGCGAAGGCGACCACCUGGACUGAUACUGACACUGAGGUGCGAAAAGCGUGGGGAGCAAACAGGAUUAGAUACCCGCGUAGU